GACGAACGCUGGCGGCGUGCCUAAUACAUGCAAGUCGAGCGGACGAAUCGAAAGCUUGCUUUUGAUUCGUUAGCGGCGGACGGGUGAGUAACACGUGGGCAACCUGCCCUGUAGACGGGGAUAACACCGAGAAAUCGGUGCUAAUACCGGAUAACACGAAAUGUCGCAUGACGUUUCGUUGAAAGACGGCGCAAGCUGUCGCUACAGGAUGGGCCCGCGGCGCAUUAGCUAGUUGGUGAGGUAACGGCUCACCAAGGCGACGAUGCGUAGCCGACCUGAGAGAGUGAUCGGCCACACUGGGACUGAGACACGGCCCAGACUCCUACGGGAGGCAGCAGUAGGGAAUCUUCCGCAAUGGACGAAAGUCUGACGGAGCAACGCCGCGUGAGCGAAGAAGGCCUUCGGGUCGUAAAGCUCUGUUGUUAGGGAAGAACAAGUAACGCAGUAACUGGCGUUACCGUGACGGUACCUAACGAGAAAGCCACGGCUAACUACGUG
RNAcentral lists this ribosomal RNA (498 nucleotides) under uncultured bacterium. RNAcentral describes it as "partial 16S ribosomal RNA". It matches the Rfam family "Bacterial small subunit ribosomal RNA", at positions 28 to 507 of the family's 1533-position model. The record is from RNAcentral.